RNAcentral lists this ribosomal RNA (497 nucleotides) under uncultured bacterium. RNAcentral describes it as "partial 16S ribosomal RNA". It matches the Rfam family "Bacterial small subunit ribosomal RNA", at positions 28 to 507 of the family's 1533-position model. The record is from RNAcentral.
GACGAACGCUGGCGGCGUGCCUAAUACAUGCAAGUUGAGCGCUGAAGGUUGGUACUUGUACCAACUGGAUGAGCAGCGAACGGGUGAGUAACGCGUGGGGAAUCUGCCUUUGAGCGGGGGACAACAUUUGGAAACGAAUGCUAAUACCGCAUAAAAACUUUAAACACAAGUUUUAAGUUUGAAAGAUGCAAUUGCAUCACUCAAAGAUGAUCCCGCGUUGUAUUAGCUAGUUGGUGAGGUAAAGGCUCACCAAGGCGAUGAUACAUAGCCGACCUGAGAGGGUGAUCGGCCGCAUUGGGACUGAGACACGGCCCAAACUCCUACGGGAGGCAGCAGUAGGGAAUCUUCGGCAAUGGACGAAAGUCUGACCGAGCAACGCCGCGUGAGUGAAGAAGGUUUUCGGAUCGUAAAACUCUGUUGGUAGAGAAGGACGUUGGUGAGAGUGGAAAGCUCAUCAAGUGACGGUAACUACCCAGAAAGGGACGGCUAACUACGUG